UAAGAUGGGCCGGUCCUCUGACCC
Molecule: unclassified non-coding RNA, 24 nt
Filed under: Mus musculus (house mouse)
Lineage: Eukaryota; Metazoa; Chordata; Mammalia; Rodentia; Muridae
Description: oocyte_clustered_small_RNA8810
Source: RNAcentral